RNAcentral lists this ribosomal RNA (497 nucleotides) under uncultured bacterium. Its description in RNAcentral is "partial 16S ribosomal RNA". It matches the Rfam family "Bacterial small subunit ribosomal RNA", at positions 28 to 507 of the family's 1533-position model. The record is from RNAcentral.
GAUGAACGCUGGCGGCGUGCCUAAUACAUGCAAGUCGAGCGAACGGACGAGAAGCUUGCUUCUCUGAUGUUAGCGGCGGACGGGUGAGUAACACGUGGAUAACCUACCUAUAAGACUGGGAUCACUUCGGGAAACCGGAGCUAAUACCGGAUGAUAUUUUGAACCGCAUGGUUCAAAAGUGAAAGACGGUCUUGCUGUCACUUAUAGAUGGAUCCGCGCUGCAUUAGCUAGUUGGUAAGGUAACGGCUUACCAAGGCAACGAUGCAUAGCCGACCUGAGAGGGUGAUCGGCCACACUGGAACGGGGACACGGUCCAGACUCCUACGGGAGGCAGCAGUAGGGAAUCUUCCGCAAUGGGCGGAAGCCUGACGGAGCAACGCCGCGUGAGUGAUGAAGGUCUUCGGAUCGUAAAACUCUGUUAUUAGGGAAGAACAUAUGUGUAAGUAAAUGUGCACAUCUUGACGGUACCUAAUCAGAAAGCCACGGCUAACUACGUG